CCAACUGUCUCAGCCACUUCCAUUAGGUCUGAAAAUCUAAAUUUAAACAAAACUCAAUCUUGUCAGAGGUUGUUUUAAAUCCUAGAUUGCAUUGAAUCUCAGGGUUGAAGUAGUACAAUCCCCUUCUAUUAAUCCCAGAAAAAAGGAUCUCCUGAUUCUUCAAACUCUUCACCUGGAAUUCCUUCUGGCCAAUCUGAAUAUAACAAUUCAAAUCACUACAAAGUUUAGUUGUUGAUAUUAAUAUUUUCUUAAUCUUGGGUACACAUAAAACCUUAUUUAAUAUAAAUAUUCUGGAAUUUAUUUUAAAUUCAAGUUUUCCUAUUUUUGAUAUUUUUAAUUUAUCCCCACUACCAAUUAUAACACCCCCAAUACCUGUGUAUGUUUCAC
Molecule: long non-coding RNA, 387 nt
Filed under: Zostera marina
Lineage: Eukaryota; Viridiplantae; Streptophyta; Magnoliopsida; Alismatales; Zosteraceae
Description: long non-coding RNA (ZMAR_LNC001559)
Source: RNAcentral